Molecule: long non-coding RNA, 2844 nt
Filed under: Salmo salar (Atlantic salmon)
Lineage: Eukaryota; Metazoa; Chordata; Actinopteri; Salmoniformes; Salmonidae
Description: lncRNA (ENSSSAG00000084195.1, ENSSSAG00000092520.1)
Source: RNAcentral
CUAAGCACGCGCAGCACACCUGCGCUGCCGCUUGUCCCACUUUUAAAACGGUGUAUUUGGUCUUUGGAUGACGUGUCCGCAACAAAAGAAGCUCUACUCUUUUGUCAAGGGCAAAAGUGUAGCAUGUACCCCCUUCUACACAACAUGGCAGCUUCUUUAGAAAUUGAACUAAAUUUCACUAAAACUACUGGAGCUCAAGCGCACAACAGGACAGUGAACAUAAAUCGACAUGGGUAAUAACGUCGCGGCAUCUCAACGUUGCAUCAGGAAAGAUUUCAAAGACUUCCGAGCUCUCAGAGAGGAGGGGUGCGUCACUUGAGUGGGUUGAGUCACUGACGGGAUCUUCUUGUCUGGGUUGGCGCCCCCCCUUGGGUUGUGCCGUGGCGGAGAUCUUUGUGGGCUAUACUCGGCCUUGUCUCAGGAUGGUAAGUUGGUGGUUGAAGAGAUCCCUCUAGUGGUGUGGGGGCUGUGAUUUGGCAAAGUGGGUGGGGUUAUAUCCUGCCUGUUUGGCCCUGUCUGGGGGUAUUGUCGAAUGGGGCCACAGUGUCUCCCGACCCCUCCUGUCUCAGCCUCCAGUAUUUAUGCUGCAGUAGUUUAUGUGUCGGGGGGCUAGGGUCAGUCUGUUAUAUCUGGAGUAUUUCUCCUGUCUUAUCCUGUGUCCUGUGUGAAUUUAAGUAUGCUCUCUCUAAUUCUCUUUCUUUCUUUCUCUCUCUCUCUCUCUCUCUCUCUCUCGGAGGACCUGAGCCCUAGGACCAUGCCUCAGGACUACCUAGCCUGAUGACUCCUUGCUGUCCCCAGUCCACCUGUCCAUGCUGCUGCUCCAGUUUCAACUGUUCUGCCUGCGGCUAUGGAACCCUGACCUGUUCACCAGACAUGCUACCUGACAGCAGGAUCGGUAGAGAUAAUCUGAAUGAUCGGCUAUGAAAAGUCAACUGACAUUUACUCCUGAGGUGCUGACCUGUUGCACCCUCGACAACCAAUGUGAUUAUUAUUAUUUGACCCUGCUGGUCAUCUAUGAACAUUUGAACAUCUUGGCCAUGUUCUGUUAUAAUCUCCAUCCGGCACAGCCAGAAGAGGACUGGCCACCCCUCAUAGCCUGGUUCCUCUCUAGUUUUCUUCCUAGGUUCUGGCCUUUCUAGGGAGUUUUUCCUAGCCACCGUGCUUCUACACCUGCAUUGCUUGCUGUUUGGGGUUUUAGGCUGAGUUUCUCUAUAGCACUUUGAGAUAUCAGCUGAUGUAAUAAGGGCUUUAUAAAUACAUUUGAUUUGAUUUGACCAUCGUUUCUGUCUCUCUUAUGGAUAUGAAUAUGUGUGUGAUUUGUCCCUGUGUUUCUCUGUCUGUUUCUCUCUCUCUCUCUCUCUCUCUCUCUCUCUCUCUGUCUGUCAGUCUGUCUCUCUGUCUCUCACUCCCUCUCACUUUCUCCCUCCCGCUCGCUCUCUCUCUUGCUCUCUCUCACUCUCUCUGCACGAAUAGAAUGCAUUAUUCAUUUAUUCAUCCACAUGUAUUCAGGCAUUGCAUAAACGGCUCAAUGAUCAAACACAUGCCGUGUGUCAUAGACCAGGCUCUGCACAAUGUGCCCAGAACAGGUCAUGCAGACGAGAACGGCAUGAAGCCAUAUUAGUCAUAAUAUGUAUUUUACCCAGACCACAAGUUUGUUUGGCUUACAGGAAAGAACAUUGAAACAAUUGACGGCAUGAUUUUAAUGAUGUGUUUUGUUAUUCAGUAACACUAUGGGGUGGAUGGGUUCAGUGUAGGACAUAAGCUGCAUUUUUUGUUGUUGUGUGAUUUGUUCGCUUGAUCAGUCUGCAGAGGCACCUUACAAGAGGGUUGUGUGUGUGUGUGUGUGUGUGUGUUAGUGUGUGUGUGUGUGUGUGUGUGUGUGUGUGUGUGUGUGUGUGUGUGUGUGUGUGUGUGUGUGUGUGUGUGUGUGUGUGUGUGUGUGAACUCUUGUAAGGCUACAUCAAAGCUAAAAACAGAAAAACUUGCAUGUUGUCAGUUGCUUACCAACAACCAGAGAGACAGUCUUGCCUCGGGGGUGGAUGGCAGUGUUGUGGUCAAAAACAUACAGUCCCCUGUGUGAGUAAGUCUAAAAUCUCUCUCUCUCUUUCUCUCUCAGACUCUCUCUCUCUCUCUCUCUCCCUCUCUUUCUGUCUCCUCUCUCUUUCACUUACACAUAUCCCCAGCCUUAGGGAGAGAGUAGGCCAAUGCGUGGGAGGACCAUAGCGAGAGCUGUCACACACAAACACAGUCAUAGAGUUAGUCUAAAGUCAAAAUAGAAAUGAAAUAAACACUAGUAUGUGAACAGACAACAUAGAUUUAUGCAUAUGUCAACACUUGACUAAUCACCUGAUGCUGGUAAAAUGGUACCAAACAUUCACUCCAUGGUCAGCUGUCAGCAUUGAGUCUCUAUAGCAGAAAUGUUUGUUGAAAUGUGAAAAGAAAAUAAAUGUAAUUCAUUGAUUUGUAAAAUAUAUAACUCGACUGAUCUAUCGAGAUCUUCUUUCUCGCAGUGAAACUCCCCUCAGUAUCACCAUAAGUCUCUUUAAGCCUGGCCGGCAUGCUAAAUACCUCUCUCUCUCUCUCACACACACACACACACACUACUGUAACCCUACUGUAACUCUCUCAUGGCCAUGCUGUGUGGGUGACAGAUGGCAGUAGAGAUGAAAACUCCCUGAAUAAAUAUGUAAUCCACUGCUCACAUGGGCCACGGCAGAUUAUCAGAAACACUACAGCAUGGGGCUCAGUGGUGAGAGAGAGAGCGAGCAAAAGAGAGAGAGCAACAGAGAGAGAGCAAAAAAGAGAGAGCAAAAGAGAGAGAGAGAGAGAGAGAAAGAGAGAGAG